Molecule: ribosomal RNA, 253 nt
Filed under: uncultured bacterium
Lineage: Bacteria
Description: partial 16S ribosomal RNA
Rfam family: Bacterial small subunit ribosomal RNA
Source: RNAcentral
UACGUAGGGUGCAAGCGUUAUCCGGAAUUAUUGGGCGUAAAGAGCUCGUAGGCGGUUUGUCGCGUCUGCUGUGAAAACCCGAGGCUCAACCUCGGGCCUGCAGUGGGUACGGGCAGACUAGAGUGCGGUAGGGGAGAUUGGAAUUCCUGGUGUAGCGGUGAAAUGCGCAGAUAUCGGGAGGAACACCGGUGGCGAAGGCGGGUCUCUGGGCCGAUACUGACGCUGAGGAGCGAAAGCGUGGGGAGCGAACAGG